Molecule: microRNA precursor, 75 nt
Filed under: Corchorus capsularis
Lineage: Eukaryota; Viridiplantae; Streptophyta; Magnoliopsida; Malvales; Malvaceae
Description: pre miRNA MIR477
Source: RNAcentral
AAUAGCUCUCAUCGUUCCCAAAUCCUUCCAUUAAGGAUUAUUGUAAUGGAAGGAUUUGGGAACGAUGAGAACUAU